AUGGAGAAGAGGCUGAAACUAAGUCGCGACAGCACGACGGAGGAAGUGGAUGCUACGCAGUACCGACACCUUGUGGGGAGCCUUCGCUACCUCACUCACACACGGCCGGACUUGGCAUUCUCCGUCGGCUAUGUCAGUCGGUUCAUGGAGCGACCAACGUCGGAACACCAGCAGGCAGUGAAGAGGAUCGUCCGCUACAUAGCAGGGACCCUCGACCACGGCCUCCACUACCCUAGGUGUCCUGGGGCGGCACACUUCGUCGGGUACAGCGACAGCGACCACGCCGGCGACAUCGACACCAGCAAGAGCACGAGCGGGAUCCUCCUCUUCCUCGGCAAGUGUCUCGUGAGCUGGCAAUCAGUCAAGCAGCAGGUGGUGGCCCUGUCCAGCUGUGAGGCUGAGUACAUAGCGGCCUCCACCGCCUGUACUCAGGCGCUCUGGCUUGCUCGACUGCUUGGUGAUCUUCUCGUUCAAGACACCAGAACGGUGCAGCUCCUGGUGGACAGCAAGUCCGCCCUGGCCCUGGCAAAGAACCCCGUGUUCCACGAACAGAGCAAGCACAUCCGACUGAGGUAUCACUUCAUCCGCAGCUGUGUGGAAGAAGGGAGCAUCGAGGCGAGCUACAUCAACACCAAGGAUCACCUCGCAGACCUACUCACCAAGCCCCUUGGGAGGGUUAAGUUCCUCGAACUUUGCUCCAGGAUUGGGAUGAUUCAACUCUCCCACAAGACGACGUACAAGACUUAG
Molecule: ribosomal RNA, 747 nt
Filed under: Triticum aestivum (bread wheat)
Lineage: Eukaryota; Viridiplantae; Streptophyta; Magnoliopsida; Poales; Poaceae
Description: partial small subunit ribosomal RNA
Source: RNAcentral